GUGUUGACAGAGUUGCAUCUUUUCUUCAGAUCCUCAAGGGAGAUGAGGAAUAUGGCUGAGAAGAUGCGGCGCGACAAGCUAAAUAACUACAUCAAUGAGCUGGCCGGCAUUGUCCCACUCGGCUCUGGCGGCAGCAAGCGACUGGACAAGACCUCCACCCUAAGACUGGCUGCAAACUACAUCCGAAUGCAUAAAAUUCUAGCAAAGGAAGAUGAUGAAGCUGAGAAGGUACCACCGGUGUUGGGAGGCAAUAUUGCUCAUAACUUAGCAGAGGCUGUUGGUGGCUUUCUACUUGUGGUGACUUCAACUGGUCGGGUUGUCUACGUCACAGAGGCUGUUGACCAGUUUUUUGGCCAUAGUCAGGUUGACUUGCUUGGUCACAGCAUUUACAAUGUUAUACAUCCAGAUGACCAUGAAAUAUUUCAGCAGCAGCUAAUACCCAGAGGCAACAACAGGGUGUCUUUUUUCUGCCGUAUGAUGGAAAAGGCUCUCACACGAAAUGAUCCGGGACGAUAUGAAAUUAUCCACAUUGUUGGGCAAUUGAAGCCCAUUCCUGCUUCUGCAAAUGUUGUUCCUUGCUCUCCAGCCACAUCAGUUCUUUCUCCAGAUGGAAGAUCAAACAGUGAUACUGAGAACUACGAGUCAGAUGGAGAUGUGGAUAACCAAACCAUGAAAGCUGCCAUCAACCGGAUUGGAACUCACAUACUUGUCAGCUUUGUAAGGGUGGUGAAGGAUCGUCCCAUCACAGAGCUGUCCUUAGUAGAGUCAACACAAGAUGAAUACAUUACUCGUCAUGGUCUGGGAGGAAGUAUCAUGUACACUGAUCACAGAAUAUCAUUCGUCACUGGAUUAAUGCCAGGAGAAGUAGUCGGAACUUCAGCCUUUUCAUACAUGCAUCCUGAGGACCGAGUAUGGUCAAUUGUAGCACAAAAGCUGAUGUUCACCAGUACUGAAGGACAAGGGAUAGUAUCCUACAGGCUACAGUGUCGUGAUGGAAGUUUUGUCACCCUAAGAAGCAGAGGAUACCUGGAAGUAAAUAAGCAGACUGGACAAGUGGAGUCUUUUGUCUGUAUCAACACUGUUGUAAGUUUAAAGGAAUCUGAGGAUGAAAUAAAAAAUCAGAGACGAAAGCUCCUUCCUGUGAUCAGCUCCUCUGAUUGUGAAGACCAUUUGAAGAACAUCUCUUCCACUCUUCCACCAGAACUCAUCAAAGAUGUGUUGCCACUGCUAACUCCAGAAGCACUGCAGCAAAUGGCUGCCACAUUUGAAAUGAGUGAAUUGAAAAGUGAUAAAAUUGUAGAAUUAUCAGAUAUCAGUCCAGAACAGAGUCAUGAAGCUCCAGUAGAAGUGAUGAAAAAUCGAGCAGUGGAAAAUGAGGAUAACCCUUAUCAAAGCAAACCUAAAAAAGUAUGCAACAUUGAAAAAUCUGAGACAUCCUCUGUUGAGUUUACUAAAAAUAUACCUGGGGCAAAUGAAACAACAAGCAAGUCACCAGACAGUAACCUUUGGUACAAUGAUUCUGAUAAAUUGACUUCGUUGGAUGACUUCAAAACUGAUGUAACUAAAAGCUUCAGUUUUGAGAGGGAACAAUUCAAACAAGAUCAAGCACAGUCCAGUAAGCUCAGUCCAGCUGCUUCUCUUCAAGUGCAAAUAUGUCCAGCUUCUCCACAGUAUGGCAGUAAAACCUGUUAUCAGUCUUCUGUAAAUCAGUGUGAUGGUCUCACUGACCAAAAAUUAACUAAAGGCAUUAGUAACUAUCUGCCAAAUAAGGACACUCAUUCCCCAGCUGGAGACCAUAGUCCUUUGGGAAAGGAAAGUGAAUUCAGUCCAAGAGUCGGUAAUUAUUCUAUUGAUGGCAGCGUCUCCUUAGCUGGAAACCAAAAGAAUGAAGAUUGUUCAUCUAAACCUCCUGAGCAGAUGAAUGUUAAUGUAGGAAUUUCUAAACCAGAGUAUAGUCCAGUCUCGGUAAAGGAGAGCAUAGAUAACAGAAUUUCAUACCGACAAGGAGAACCUCAGAACAAACCUGGUGGCAUGUCCUCUCCUGGGUGCACUUUUGUCAGAAAUGAAAGAACUGUGUCUCCCAGUAGUGCUUAUCCAUUACACUCCAUCAGUGACGGGCUCUUGACUGACAACCCUCAAGAUAGUGGAAUAAGUCUAGUUUCUUAUGCAAGCCAGCAGGAGUGGGGGAAUGGAAGCAGUGUCAGUGAUGUAGCAUUGUCACCUAAAUGUAUGAACACUGCAGCACCACAUGGGCAACACAACUUUCACCAACUGGACUUUGAUACCUCUGUAAACCCUAUGAACCAAUCAGGCACAACCUGUCAGAGAAAUAGCCAUCCACAAUUUUCUCCAGGCUCCAUGUUGGAAACUAAGGAUGAUUAUCAUCAAGUGCACCAGCAGCUUCAACACCAAAGAUAUAAUCAGCAGCAGUUACAGCAGCAGCAACAACUAAAGCAACAUCAACAACUACAGUUACAACAGCAAUGCCAGCAACAACAACAACAACAACAACUGCAACAACAACAACAACAACAACAACAACAUUUCCAUUACCAGCCUGCCAUGUCUACAGCCAAUGUUAGACAUAACUUCAAUUUUUCAUCAACCCCAAAGUUUGAUGUAAAAGUACAAGGACACCCUAAUAAGUCAUUACCACAAAAUUAUGGUUCAGUGACAAAUUGGCAAUCAAGAACUGAUGUUAUUCCAUGUCAUCCCUCAAAUACAUCAGGAGAAAACCCAGAUGUGUUCACCUCAACAAAUCUGUUGCCUCACAUGGAGAGUGAGGGUGGCCAUGCUUCACAAUGUGAUGCCAGUCUCCACCCCAACACUGGCAGCCCAUGCUCAAUGACAUUUGAAAUUUGGCGCACGCGGCAAUCCCAGAUACGGCACGGGGCACUGUUCUGGCUCAGCCGUAGUGAAGGGGUUAAAAGGAAUACAAACAAUAACUUGGUAAAUUCCUAUGACACAUGAAACCUUGCCAAACAAAUUAUACAUGAUGCAAAAGAUCGUUCAAGAUGAACACAUGGACUCCAAGAAUUGCCUACUAUACCAGAGUAUGAGAGCAUGGGCCAUCCUACCUGUUACCCCUUCGGAGAAACUCAACAGAACUGCAGGAGAGGAUCCCACCGCUGCCACCACUUUAAUGAUGAGAUUUUCUACUCUCUUUUCUAUUACUCUCUCGGUCCCACACGUCCUCUGCGUGUAUUGAAACACACGAGAAAUUAAUCAGGACAAGGAGAGGGUACUCGCCGGCUACCUGGGAUUGAACCCGCGACCAGCGUGACGGGAGAGCCACUCCUUACCGAGUCGGCCAAAGAGGUACCCCACUGGCUAAGUGGGUUAUGGGAGGCUCGUUCAUCAGGCAUAGUCGCCGCACCACACACAGUCCCAACACCUAUUUCUUCCUCUCAUAUGUCAACUCUUUACUACUUCUAAAUGAAUUGAGUUAAUGAAUCAAAAAUCUAAUAAGGCUGUAAACAUGUUGUGCUGAGACUCAUUUUUUUAGGUUAAUAUCAAUGAUUUUGUUUAAAUACCACAACAGUUGACAACCUUGUUUUCCGUUGUUGUCAGUGAGCUGACCCAAGGUCAGUUCCUUCAAGGUCGCCCUCCAGGAUGGAAGCUGCCCGUGCUGUCACUCUACCCAUUGCCACUCACACUCGUGAGAGAGAGAGAGAGAGAGAGAGAGAGAGAGAGAGAGAGAGAGAGAGAGAGAGAGCGUGGAAGGCUGUACUUUGCACCUAGGUUCUUAUACAAUAAUUGAAGACAGAUGUGACAGCAUGGGGGACAAGGACCUACUAAAAGCAGCCAACAUCAAUACGAUCUGGACCCUUAAUACCUCCAUGAUCUGGACAAUAUGGUUUCACUAUAGCUCAGUUUCAUAAUGCUGCUAACAGGUCAACCAAGGUUGGGAUGAGGAGAGCUCAGGAGGACAGAGGCAGGUUAGGAAAACAAGGGCAGGAGACAAAGGAAGACCUCUUUAUUCAUGAUGGGACAUUUGAAUAAUAUUUUAUUUUCUAAUGUAAAUUUCGCCUUAUAACCAAUUAAACUUACAACCGGCAUGUUGAUUCUGAACACCAUCAUAACUCGAGGACGACAUUUUUAUAUAUAUACUUACCAACAAACAGAGACAAAAAAAUAUAUAUAAUACUUUCUUUUUUUCAAAGACUCCCAAUAUCUUCAUGAGACAGUAGUGUUUGAUUUGUUUUGCCUGUUACUAUCAAGAGAGAUUUUCAAUUGCAUACCUCUUCUCUGUAACCAUUGUAGCAUAAUAAUUUUGAACAUUACAAGUAAUCUGUAAUAAACAGUCCACAAAUAAGCUUGGUACUGUUCACUGUAAUCAUGCUUUGUAUAGCUUUUUUAUGUAUGGCUGUAAUCUUCUGUCUUUUCUCAUUUGUUUUCAUGGCUAAUUUAACACAGGAAAACUUUUUGAAAUACAAGUUGCCUUUUAAAGGUAUUCUUUUGAAAACAAGAAAAUCCUAGACUAUCCCUUGUAUACAAAAGCAAAUUUCAUAACAUAAUGUGAAUAGAUUACAGUAUAGUAAACCCUUAUUUUAACGAACCAGUUAGGUGAAAGAAGUGAGUUUAUAUCCAAAAAUCUGUUAUAUCAGAGAGAUUCGAACUUUUUGCAUAGCUAUAAUGAACUUUGUUUGUCAUGGGAGUUAAAAGUUCACUUUUCCGACAAUAUCCAUAUACAUGUACAUAUGUAGUAUCUCAAAGUUUGUUUGUUAUUUUAAAUGAAAGGUGAGGCACAAAAGAUUGAGACUGGAGCUGUUUCCAGUUGAGGUCUGUAAAAGCAAGGAUUAACUGUAAUAUUUGAUCAAUUCCAUGGAGAAAAAGCUUUUAAAAACUUUGAUUAUGACACAUACAUAGACGUUCCAGAAAGCCAGGCAUACAAAGCAAAUUAAAUCAGUUAUAAAGGAAGAGAUUCCAAAAUGUUUGAGGAAAUUAAUUUAGCAGGUGACUCAUCUUGAAAUGCUCAACAUAUUUUAUACUGCUUAAUGUUCUAAUCUUUAUGAUAAAUUUUCCACUUGAGUGUAAGGUUGCACACUUAUAGUAGACAAAAGAAAAUAUCAUACAAGAAAACACCAUCCAUAUACUAGUACACACCGUACUUAGAUAAUUCAACUUUCCACCUAGAUUUCAUGACACACUACAAUGUUGGGCACAGAGAGAGAGAGAGAGAGAGAGAGAGAGAGAGAGAGAGAGACUGCUACGAUUUUUGUCUCAUCUAGUUUAUCGACUUCGGUUUUAUACUUUAUUUUUCAAGAAAGUGACUCUUACAGUCUAGCUAAUGUAAUUGCAUUUUCCUGUUUCAAAUGAAAAUUAGCUCCUAUUGUCAGAUGCAUAGUCUAAUUUUUCAACAUCAGAAAACCUAACCCUACUUCAUAGUUAUAAUUACAUAUGUUUUUCUUAACAAUUUGACAAAUGAUAUUCUUAAUUCUGUUUAAUUCAUAGGCUACACUUGCUUUGUUACUGUUAAUCUGCAUAUUUGGUAUGCCAACAACAUAAUAUACAAAACUUAAAUAAUGCAUAUAAUUUCUAGUACACAGUGCAAGGCACCAGACAAAUAAUUAGUACUAAAGCAAUGUGCAGCAAUUUAAGACUCCCAGCUUUACCUUUCAAUCUAGCACCAGAAAAGUUGUUAGCAGUAUGUUGAAGAGUGGACAUAACUAUCCAUCUCUCUCUCUCUCUCUCUCUCUCUCUCUCUCUCUCUCUCUCUCUCUCUCUCUCUCUCUCUCUCUCUCUCUCUCUCCUAUAUUACUAAAUGGAAGAUCUCCAACAUUUCAUACAGAUCUACAAGACUUGUAGGCUACCAGUAAUUUGCAAACCCCUUCCUAUCAUCAUCUCUAUUUGUUGAACAUUUUCUAUGCUUACACAUCUUUGAAAAAGAAAAAAAGAAAAAGGUGUCUUAAUGCAUGACAAAUGUCUUCAUAAAGAGAAUGUGACAUCAGAAGAAGGCAAAAUAUUGCAUAAUUAUGCAUUAUAUUGCCUACUUUUGAUGUCACUAAGAUAAUUUUCAUUAAGACAGUAAUCAUCUAAAUUCUAAGUGAUAUCAAAAGCAGGCAAAAUAUUUCAUAUUUAUGCAUUAUAUUGUGUACUUUUGUUGUCACAUAGAUCCUUUUCAUGAAGACAGCAAUCAUCUCAGUGACAUCAAAAGCAAGCAAAACAUUGCAUAAUUAUUCAUUAUUUUGCCUGUUUUUGAUGUCACUUAGAUCAUUUAUAUACAUGAUGAUAGUUAUCAUGCAUUACGAUACUUUUUGAAACACUUUUUUUUUUCUUUUUGAGGAUUGGUAAAUACCAGUGGUGGGCACCGCUAACCAAAAAGUUAGCUUCGCUAACUAAAAUGUUAGCUUCGCUUACGCUAAACCGCUACACUGGUAAAGAAAUUAGUGGAAGCUAACGCUAACUGCUAACUUUUUUUCAAAGAUUUGGAAUUGGAAGAUGCGCAUUACCCUAAAAUAACAAAAAGUUUCCCUGAUAAUUGUCAAAUUACCCUACUUUAAGGUGUAAUUUACCACAAAAAGUGGAAGCACUGGAGUUAUUGCGCCAUGUUGCUCAACUGGUGCUGUGUCUGUCCACAAUGGACAAAAACAAACUUGUAUGAAAUUUUUAGUGGACUUAAGUUAGCGGAGGAGGAACUUCAUUUAGCGGAAGCUAUUUGGUCCGCUAGCUGUUUCCAAAGUUAGCGAAAACGCUAAACAGCCAACGAAAAAGUUAGCUUCGCUAAUUAGCGGUUAGCGGAUUAGUGAAACCGUGCCCACCACUAGUAAAUACAGAGUAUGUCCAACAAAGAGAUGACAAUAGGAAUGAGGUUUGAAAUUCACUAUUACAAAUCAUGUGGAUCUAUAUGGAACGUAGACCUUCCAUUAAGUAAUACAGGAGAUGUAUAUUGAUUCCUUAAUUCCUUUUCUAACUAAAUUUUCGACGUUUCAGUCAGUUAAAUCAGAUGAAAAAUGCAUUAGAAAAAUAAUACAUAAGAAUGUCAAAAUGGUCACAUUGAAAUCUGAGAAAAUGCAGUCCCAUCCCCAGACAUGACCAAACACUGAAGUAUUAUUCUUACAACUCAGGCUAAGUAGCAUGAAGCAAGAUUUGUAAAAUCUGUGUCAUGAUGCAUCCUAGCAAUGAAAAUUGUACAGUACUCAGUACAGUAGUAUAGGGAAGACCAUGACAUUGAGUGAAUAAAGGUUAAAGUGGUACGAGGCAAAAAGGUUCUGGAGUCUGCCAAUUUUGUAUGCAUACAAUGAAGGCAUCAGUGAGCUGACCAGGAGGCUAAAUGAAUGUUAACAAGUGGAAAAUUGUCAAUUAAACAGAUUUGUUCAGUAAAUGAGCCUGAUAAUAGGAUUAUUUUUUGGUUAGGCAACUGAUAUGUACAUGCCAAGUGUCUAAUUACCAUAUUGUUUGGAGAAUAGAUAUAUGCAAGAAAAAAACAUGCUGGAUAUGGUUGCACACGUUUCUUUAGCAUCCUUUUUACUGAAAUACUGUUGACAUGUUCCUCUAAUUUACUUUCCUUACUGUCAUCUUAAAUAUUUUAAGCAUUCUAUAAAUAAAUAUCUACUUAUAAUACAGGCAAAAAUUUUAUUACAUCUUUUGGAGAAGGAAAUGCUACAAAGCAUAACUUCAUUUAUUCAUUUAACAUUAAUAAUUCUUUUUCCUCAGUAAAAACAUCGGUUUACAGUUGAAGAUAAUCUUUUGUCAUUGAAUAUUAAGAUUUAAUCUACCACAUUUAUCCGCAUAUUAGAAAAAAAAUCCCUUCACCUUUCACCCAACUUGCUUACACUUUUAUUUUCUUACUUUGCUUGCAAAAAGUGACAGCUAAAUGUAAUGCAUUAUAACAGAUAACAGAUUAUCUUACAUUAUUAUGAUUCUUUUUGGGUUCUUAACAGACAAUGUCUUCUGUUAGCUUCAUGCAUGUUACUAGUAUUUUCUUAUUUUUGUGUUCUAUUUGCACCUCACCUGCUGGAUCUUACAUAAUAACCAAGAAGCAUGCCUGUAGUUGCAGAAUCUUUCAACUGUCACUGGUUGCAACUGCAGCAGAAGCACACAUUCAUUCAUUCAUUUCAAUCAUCUUUGACGCCUGCUCCUAUAGUCUGUUCAGAGCAUGAAGUCGGAUCAAGGUGUGGCAGAUUCUUGAAUUCCCAUGAGUGCGGCGCUGCCAGUUCGACCGCCAAUUAUCAGAUUGGCACCGUCUCCCUACCUACCCACCCACAACCCACCUGUUUAUCUCUCUCUCUCCCUCUCGACCCGGGGGGAGGGACCUAAGGGGACACGCCGACCACCACCACCAUCACCACCACCACCACCAAUACAUGGCAACAUGGGAAAAAAUCGCUGCCACAUGUCAUAGAAUUUAUACAAAUCGUUGUUAUAAUCCUAAACAUCGACACUCAUUGUACUAUGUAGCUUCCUGUACUAUAUACAAAAUAUAUAAAAUAUCACUUUCAAAUAGCACAUGGAUGGGAAAUAAGAGAAAGACACAUGUACGAAGAUUGAUUUGGCAGCAUGGCUAGAGGUAAACGACGAUACCAGAUCCACCCUGAACCGACUUCAUGCUCUGAACAGACUAUAGGAGCUCCCACCAGGGGAUGGCCACGGCAGAAGAGUUUCCAUCUCUCUCUAUCCAGACACUCCCUCCUUGCCUGCUCAAAGUUUCUCAAGGAUCUUUCACCCCUCUCCCUGACAUACUCCUGCACCUUAUCUCUUCAUUUUGCUGGAGGUCGUCUUAUAACAUUCCCUCCCUCUAUUUCACUCACAUACACCAUCCUGGUCAUCUUACUCUCCUCCAUUCGCUCCAUGUGGUCGCUUCACUUCUUCCACCACUCCACACUUCUUCCCUUCACCCACAUGACAAUUCCAAAAUGCUCAUACACACUUUCAUUACUCAUUCCAUCCAUUCUACUCACACCACAUGCAUUCAUCAAAUAACUCAUUUCCACUACCUGCACUCUAGACCUUUGACUUUCAUUCCAGGCCCAUGUUUCACUUGCAUAUGUGAGGGUUGGUACAAUUACUGUAUUUCUCAAAUCCCUCUUUACCUCCAUACUCACACUUCUGCCAUUCAUGAUUCGUCCCAAAGACCCUACCACCCUUCUUCCUUGCAAUGCCCUUUCUCUUGUCUCUCCCUCCGUACCACCAUGCUUACACAUGACUGAUCCAAGGUACUUAAACUCAUUAACCUCCUCCAUUUCUUCACCAUUCAAAAUUAUUUUGCAUUCUUUUUCACAUUCAAUUCCCACUCUAUAUGGGCAUACAAAAUCCACAACCUCACUUCUACUCUACUCACAAACCAUCGCUUUACUUUUGUUGACAUUUACUAUCAGCUUUCUCCUUUUACAUACACUAUCAAAAACACUGACCAAAUUUUGUAAGUCACUUUCAUUUUCUGCAAUGAGCACUGUGUCAUCAGCAAAUAAGAUUGAAUUCAGCACCCACAUCCUUCCCUCAGUGUACAUUUCUACUCCAACUUCCCCAACUUUGCCCUUCAUUUCUCUCACAACACCAUCCAUAUAAAUAUUGAACAACUAUGGUGACAUGACACACCCCUGCCUCAAGCCCACUUUUAUCUCAAAAUGUUCACUUGUUUCUCCACUAAUUUUGACACAUGCAGAUGCAUCCUCAUAGAAAGACUUUUUGUAUGAAGCAGUUUUCCUCCCACACCAUAUAUCUUUAAAACGUCCCACAAAGCCAGCCAAUCGACUCUGUCAUAAGCUUUUUCUAGGUCCAUGAAGGCAGUGUAUAUUUUUUUCCUUUUGUUAAUAUUUUUUCUACAACCAUCCUGAAGGAAAAUAUCUGAUCCACGCAUCCCCUUCCCUUCCUGAAGCCUCCUUGUUCUUCAAUGAUUUUUUCCUCUGUAAGUCUUUGCAUCCUUUCUAUUAUGACUUUUCCAAAUACAUUUCUGGGUAUACUCAGCAGACUUAUACCUCUAUAGCUCCCACACUCCCCUCUCCUGCCCUUCCCCUUGUAAACUAGGACAGUGAUGGCUUUUGCCCAGUCUGCUGGUACCCCCCCCCACACCCUCCCACGCCACUUCACAUAUCUUGACCAACCAUUUAGUAACUACAUCUCCUCCACACUUCAACAUUUCUGUUGUAAUUCCAUCAAUUUCUGCUGCCUUUCCAUUUUUAUUUUUUUUAUUGCUUGAUUUACUUCUUCAUAUGUAUGUACGUACGUACUUUCUUCUUUAUAUACUCCUCCACUACCUCCAUUCAAAAUUACUGCUGUUACAACUGCUGGACCUCCAUCUUUAAUAUUUAUUAAGUUUUUGAAAUAUUCUCUCCAUCUCUCUUUCACAGCUUCCCCAUCUUUCAACAUCUUUCCAUUCUCAUCCAUAACUUCAUUUAUUUUACUUGGGGAGAUAUUUUCUGCAUUUCUUUUAUUCUUUACUUCUCUCCAAUAUGAUUUUCUAUUUCCUUUAUUUUUUUCACUUAGUUUUUUUUUCAGUCUUCAUCAACUCUCUUCUUACUUUCUUUUAUUGCUUGUUUUAAUUUCAUUUUGCAUUCUCUAUAUUUUUUUUCCUUUCCCUUUUUACUUGCUCAGCCACAUUUCUUUCUUGAGUUUUCUUAAAAAGUUCCCUCUUCUCUUUUGCUAUCCUCCUUAUCUCUCCUGCCCAUCAUGAAUUUCCUUUUCUUUUUCCAUCCCUCACCACUUUCAUCCCAAACACUAUUUUUGUUGUAGUUAACACUACAUCUUUAAAUGUUCCAAAAACUUCAAUAUCUGUACUAUGUUUUACACUUUCCCAUUUUUCACUUAAGGCCUCUACCAUUUCACGUUUAUACUCAUCUUUUAUUUAUUUUUCCUGUAACUUUUCUAUCUUCAAUAUUUCCUUUUUUACUUCACCCUUCUUUUCAAACACCUACUUUUCCUUCAGCCUUAAUUUUGUCAGCACUGCAAGAUGGUCAGAGCACACACGUAAACACAAAAUAUAAAUGCCCAUCAAUUUCUGUAUGAUAAAUGAGCUGUACAUUUGAACUGAUUUUAAUGGAAUUGAUGUAUCAGAUAUACAUAUGUAUAGUUAAAAUGAUUUCCAUAUAGUUAGAAUUUGUAUAGUUCUCUCUCUCUCUCUCUCUCUCUCUCUCUCUCUCUCUCUCUCUCUCUCUCUCUCUCUCUCUCUCUCUCUCUCUCUCUCUCUCCGUAUUCAAUAUGUCCUUUAACGUAUUCAAUAUGUCCUUUUACCGUAUUCAAUAUGUCCUUGCGACAAGGCAUCGUCCCUUCGGAUUGGAAAAAGGCUAACGUGACACCGAUUUUUAAGAAAGGAGACAAAAAAAUACCAGGUAACUACCAACCCAUUAGUCUAACUUCAAUUGUAGGUGAGCUACUCGAGAGCAUAAUUAGAGACAAAAUUGUGAGUUACCUCGAAAGCCACUCAUUAAUUGGGGAUUCACAAUAUGGCUUCCGUAACAAAAGAUCCUGCCUGUCAAACCUACUAACCUUUUAUAACGAUCUCUUCUCAGUUUAUGACGUAACCAAAUCAUUGGACGUAGUCUAUCUUGAUUUCCAGAAAGCGUUUGAUAAAGUCCCACAUCAUAAAUUACUUUAUAAAUUAAAGCAAAUAGGCAUUGACGGUCAAGUAAACCAAUGGAUCGCGAAUUGGGUGAGCAACAGACAACAAAGAGUUGUGAUUGACGGAUUUAACUCAGAGUGGGCGCCGGUCACUAGUGGCGUUCCUCAGGGCUCGGUUCUUGGCCCAGUGCUCUUCAGUAUUUACAUCAACGAUGUGGAUGUUGGACUCAAUAAUCGCAUUAGUAAAUGUGCAGACGACACAAAGAUUGGUAACUCGGUUCUCACUGACGAAGACGGGCAAAGCCUCCAAGAGGAUUUGCACAAAAUUUCAGCUUGGUCGGAUAAAUGGGAGAUGCCCUUUAACGUAGACAAGUGCCAGGUCCUUCAAGUUGGAACAAAAAAUAAAAAGUUCGAUUACGAAAUGCGCGGCGUUAAACUCACAAGCGUUCAAUGCGUUAAGGACCUGGGGGUCAAAAUCGCGUCAAACCUCAAAUUCUCACAUCAAUGCAUCGAUGCAGCAAAUAAAGCGAACAGAAUGUUGAGCUUCAUUAAAAGAAACUUUUUAUUCAAGAAUAAAGAUGUAAUACUUCCGCUUUACAAUAGUUUAGUCAGACCCCACUUGGAAUAUGCGGUACAGUUAUGGUCUCCUCACCAUGCAAAGGACAUUGCUAAACUAGAAGGUGUUCAGCGUCGAUGAACAAAUAUGAUCCCUUCCUUGCGCAACAAAUCCUACGAAGAAAGGCUUUCCACCCUUAAUAUGUUCUCUCUUGAGAAACGUCGCCUCUGAGGAAAACUGAUCGAAUGUUUUAAAAUACUUAAUGGUUUCACGAAUGUAGACAGAACAAAAUUGUUUAUGAUCGAUGACACUUUGCGAGCGAGGAAAAAUGGCAUAAAACUCAAAUGUAGACAAGUAAAUUCAGACUGCACCAAAUUUUUCUACACCAACGUUGUAGUGCGAGAAUGGAAUAAGCUCCCACCAUCAGUGGUCCAGUGUAACACGAUUGACUCCUUCAAAAACAAGCUCGACCGUCACUUCCUUGAACUUCAUAUUAACUAGAGUAGAAAAGCAACGUUUUGGAGCCAUCUGACUAAUGUAAAAUCACUUAGGUUUAAGGACAGACCACCUAGUCUGGACCAUGGGGUGUGUGUGUUCUGACUUUCUAUGUAAUAUCUAUGUAAUCUCUCUCUCUCUCUCUCUCUCUCUCUCUCUCUCUCUCUCUCUCUCUCUCUCUCUCUCUCUCUCUCUCUCUCUCUCUCAUAGAGCCUAUGUGUUCCUUAUUUCUGUCUGCUUAUAAGGGUUACUAAGCUUUUCUUCUAUUGACAUUUUUUUUAACACUCAUACUUGAAUUGUACACAAGUUUGUGAAAAUAGAGUUGAAAAUUAUGUGAUCAUAAUGAUUAAUUUUAGUGUUCUUUUCCUUUUUUUUCAUGUUGGUCUAUGGUGAGUGUACUUUAAAUGUAUAAGUUACACAUAUAAUGUUUGUAUCCUGUAAAUAUUUAUAUUUUUAGGAGAACUUACAUAGAAAUUUUCAGAGUCCAUCAACAUAGGUGAUUUGUGAAUAUAAUCACAGAUGUCCUCACUUUUACUCCUCCAGUUUGUCAUCUUAUUCAUUGCCUAAUUAUCACAGAGACCAUAGUGGACUGUUUCAAUAUCGUAAGGAUUGAUGUCAAACACGUUAUUUCAUCACAUGUAAGUUUCAUGUAGUAAGACUUGCUCAAACAAAAACAAAACGGCAGAGGCAUCAUGUGUAAUGAGGUAAUUUGCUCAAAAUGAACAAAAAUAUAUAUUGUGUUAUAAACAAACUG
RNA transcript from Eriocheir sinensis (Chinese mitten crab), 13301 nucleotides. It is a transcript of the gene named aryl hydrocarbon receptor nuclear translocator-like protein 1, with no coding region annotated. Lineage: Eukaryota; Metazoa; Arthropoda; Malacostraca; Decapoda; Varunidae. The transcript is spliced from 14 exons. The record is from RefSeq and is a predicted model, not a curated record.